Non-coding RNA from Aegilops tauschii subsp. strangulata, 2744 nucleotides. The record is from RefSeq and is a predicted model, not a curated record. NCBI's taxonomy places the organism in Eukaryota, Viridiplantae, Streptophyta, Magnoliopsida, Poales, Poaceae.
AGAUCCGCAGCGCUACCCCCAAAUCGCCCCUGCCUCCACCAGAUCGACCGCCCCGCCGCCCACUAGACCUAGCGCAUCUCACCGCCGGCGCGCGGCCACCUCCAGCGCUCCUCCACCCAUCACCACCGGAGCUCCUCCACCCCUCACCACCGCAAGCCGCCGCCACCCCCGACCAUCCACCAUCGCCGCUGCUCCAAUGCAUCCACCACCUCCCGCGCGCCCCGCCCCCACCUCCAGCGCUCGUCCACCCCUCACCACCGCAGCUCCUUCACCCCUCACCACCGCAAGCCGCCGCCGCUCCCAACCAACCAUCCACCGCCGCCGCCCCCCCUCCUCCCAACCAUCCACCACCCUCCACUGGACCGCAAGCCACUGCCGACCACUGCCGUCGUCGCCCAGAGCUGCAACCCCGAAUCGUGCGUUUCCUCCCCGAGCACGGGUCCGCCUCCUCCACAAGCCCCCGAAGCAGCAGCUCACCGCGUUGGCCCUCCUCUCCAGCGGGCAGCUCUGGCUGCUGAGCAUCGACAUCGCUAGCGCUGCUGUACUGGUUUCGAACAAUUUCUGCGCCUCAUAGUACUGCUUACCUGAAGGUAUAUAGUUGUAUCAGAUUUCUUACAUCAUGGACAUGUUCCCAGUAGCUGUGUACAAAUAGUUUCUACUACUGCUUCCCUCUUUUCCUUGUUUGUUCUGAAUGUGCAGCUAUACACAAUGUGUAGAAGUGUAAUAAUAUUGAAGUAGUAGCACUGAACUAUUCUGUCAGUUAGAACAAAGCAUCAAUUUUUAAUUGCUUUGAUCUAAUAACAUAAAAAAAACAUAAGCUUUGGAGUAGCAGCACUGAACUAUUCUGUCAGUAGCAACACUGAACUAUUUUGUCAGUUAGAACAAAGCAUCAAUUUUCUGUCAGUUUGAAGGUUAUUUACUUUGAUCUAAUAACAGCAAAAACCUGAAUAAGUUGUUUAGUUGAGCUUUGGAGUUCAUUUUAAGUCUUUGUUUGUUGAGUUGAUGCCCCAUUUUUGUUUUUGUUUUGCGAAAUACGAGAUGUGGACAGAACAUGUGCUAUGCUUUUAUGAUAUAGACUUAUGGCAAAGAUGUGGACAAAGCACGUGCUAUGCAAUAUCUCACUUAAAUUAAUAUCUCUAUGUUACUAACAGUUUGCUCUUGUUUACAAAUGCAGUGUAUAUUUGAGUGGGUGUAUUUCCUACAGUAUUCCAACUUAUAUUUUAUUAGGUGACUCUAGCUUAACCCUUAUUAAUUUUACAAGGUGAUAUUUGUAAUUUUUUUAGGCUUAGUGUCACCUAUUGUCGGCCUCCUCUACAUCCUAUCCAAGUGCCGCCUCCUCUACUUCUUUGCCCCAACUGAGAGCAUUUGACAGGAGAAAGGUGCGACGGCGCCCGGGUGCCCCGGCACCCGGUUAUCCCGUCCGUCCAGCGGCACGAGGAUCCGUCCUGAGCACUGUAGAGGCGCAGAUGGGUCACUGUAGAGGCGCAGAGUGGUUGCAGCAUUAGAGUAUUUUGGACCCUUUUUAAAGGAGACAAAGACAGAAGGGAAGGGGCGGUAGGUUUCAGAGUUAGGCAGGGCAGGUCUAGGCAUGUCAGGAAUCAUUUGAUCCCACGAGAUGGAUGAAACGACAGCAUACAGCUGCUGCAUGCGCCCGUUCAUUUUAGAGGAGAUUCUCGUUCGCCACGUGUUGUUAUGCUUGCUCACUCCAGCUUCCAGCUUCUCUUCUGGGAUGUUUUUAAUUAGGAUGUUUCUCCUGGGAUUUAAGUGAGAGAGAGAGAGAGAGUAAACAGAGAAAAAUAAUCUUCGAUCUGAGAGGAGCUGUGUGAGAGAGACAAGAAUUUCUUAGGACGCUUCUUUUCCUGAAUUUUAAAAGAAAAAAGGAAGAGAGAGAGAGAGAGGUGCUGUGAGACGUCAGACUCAAAGGAAGAGAAAAGGAAGAGAGAGAGGUGUUGUGUGUCAGAGAGAGAGGUGAUGUGAGAGAUAGAAUAAAAAUAUAGAAUGAAGAGAUGUAUUGCGUGACAGUCUAAGAGAGGAAAGGACAGAAAUGUGGACCGACACCGUUUGCAUUUUUCUUUACUACUGGCUGAGAUGUCAUAUCCUGCUGCUCCAUUUGAAAUCCUCUUAGAUUCCCUUGAUUAACAACCAGUACAUCUGCUAAUCUGUUGUUUGCUACAGUACACGACACAUAUCCCCAAAGACUGGAAUCUGUACAAACUGUGCUGAUGGUGCCUAGGCACCCGGGUGCUGAAAAUCCACUCUCCAUUUGACAGAGUAUGCAGCUGAAAGUGGAUUCUAAGUUCAUGGAAAAAGCAGCAGUGCGACCACAAGCAAACUAAGGAGGUCAUAAUCUUGAAAGUGCUAGUGCAGUGGAUAAGAACAUCGGUACAUGUGAUUGGGAGCCCAAAAGACUAAUAAGAAGUUUUCUAGACGACAUUCUAUGGAAUUUUCACAUACAUGAAACUGAAAUUAAUAUCAGAGGUUGGAGAUGUCCCCGAAGACUGGUCAAGAUACCUUGCUGUAACCAUAUGCUCCGAGCUCAAGUAGAAGACUUACAAGCUUUACUCUCUGUGCUAGUUCCAUUCUGUACAACUUGGACGUCUUCAAACUGCAUCUGCUAAAUUAUGAUGCAAUUCUUUAUGUGUAAUCUGUGAAUAGCAUACAUUGUAACGAUGUAAAUGUUUGACUAUGAGAAUUUAUAAUAUAAAUGUGAAGUACAUGUGCAGUUUCCUUCUGCCUUAUUUGAA